RNAcentral lists this ribosomal RNA (551 nucleotides) under uncultured archaeon. RNAcentral's name for it is "bacterial SSU rRNA". It matches the Rfam family "Archaeal small subunit ribosomal RNA", at positions 326 to 879 of the family's 1478-position model. The record is from RNAcentral.
CGGGGUGCAGCAGGCGCGAAAACCUUGCAAUACACGAAAGUGUGACAGGGCUAUCCCGAGUGCCAUCCGCUGAGGAAGGCUUUUACCCAGUCUAGAACGCUGGGGGAAUAAGGAGAGGGCAAGUCUGGUGUCAGCCGCCGCGGUAAUACCAGCUCUCUGAGUGGUGUGGAUGUUUAUUGGGCCUAAAGCAUCCGUAGCUGGCUAAGUUAGUCCCUUGUUAAAUCCACCGAAUUAAUCGUUGGAUUGCGGGGGAUACUGCUUGGCUAGGGGACGAGAGAGGCAGACGGUAUUUCCGGGGUAGGGGUGAAAUCCUAUAAUCCCGGGAAGACCACCAGUGGCGAAGGCUGUCUGCUAGAACGCGCCCGACGGUGAGGGAUGAAAGCUGGGGGAGCGAACCGGAUUAGAUACCCGGGUAGUCCCAGCUGUAAACGAUGCAGGCUAGGUGUUUGGACGGCCACGUGCCGUUCUAGUGCCGCAGGGAAGCUGUUAAGCCUGCCGCCUGGGGAGUACGAUCGCAAGAUUGAAACUUAAAGGAAUUGGCGGGGGAGCAC